GCUUAUAAAUACCCAGCUAGCAGAGCACCAUUUAUACAUCUUAUAGAAAACGAGCCAUACGAGUUUCUCCUGAUGGCUGUUAUAAUUUCUUUUCCAAGUUUUUUUCAUUGUUAUCAUAAAAACAAGAGAGAGAAAGAAGCUGGCGAGGAGCAGGGCCAUGCUAGAAAUAUAUUUGCACUGAAGAUCAUAAAAGAUCAGGGGAGGAGUGUAUAAGGAUCUGUGUGGAACACUCAUUUGAGCAAGAAUCAAUUAGUUAUUUGUCUUGUGCGGAGGUGGUGAAGGUUAUAUGGCUAAUUAGCUUCGGCCUCGGACCUUAGCUGGAAGGUCUACCUAUAUACGGGUAGCUUCUUGCUAUUACUGCACAAGUUAAAUGCUGUUCCCAACAAUGUCUCUUAUCCUCAAAGGGUUCGAUUGUCUUACUCGAAAUAUUACAUUACUCAAGAUAUUAUUUUCUUUUCUUUUUUUGGUGAUAAAGAUUCUGAAGGUAAACAAGUUACUUCCAAACCAUGCCAGCGGUUUAGGUUUUCACUCAGAAAUUCUUCGCUGACAUGAUUAGCCUGUCUUCUGUAUAUUUCCUUUUUCUUUCUAAAAGUUUGAAUAAGAAAUUCAUUGCUUCAAUAAA
Long non-coding RNA from Theobroma cacao (cacao), 622 nucleotides. RefSeq lists it as uncharacterized. The record is from RefSeq and is a predicted model, not a curated record. NCBI's taxonomy places the organism in Eukaryota, Viridiplantae, Streptophyta, Magnoliopsida, Malvales, Malvaceae.